GAUGAACGCUGGCGGCGUGCCUAAUACAUGCAAGUCGAGCGAACAGAUGAGGAGCUUGCUCCUCUGACGUUAGCGGCGGACGGGUGAGUAACACGUGGAUAACCUACCUAUAAGACUGGGAUAACUUCGGGAAACCGGAGCUAAUACCGGAUAAUAUAUUGAACCGCAUGGUUCAAUAGUGAAAGACGGUUUUGUUGUCACUUAUAGAUGGAUCCGCGCCGCAUUAGCUAGUUGGUAAGGUAACGGCUUACCAAGGCAACGAUGCGUAGCCGACCUGAGAGGGUGAAGGGCAACAGGGGAACGGAACACGGGCCAAACCUCCAAGGGGGGGAGCAAGAGGGAAUACUCCAGAAAGGGGAAAAGACAGGAGGGGCAAGCGAGGGGGGAGGAAGAAGGUUUUGCGAAUAUAAAAACUUUUUUAUGGGAGAAAAAAAAAGGGUAAAGAAAAAUUGCAGUUCUGAAGGUACCAAAAUAAAAAGGACACGAAAAACAAGGGC
This 497-nucleotide ribosomal RNA is filed under the name uncultured bacterium. Its description in RNAcentral is "partial 16S ribosomal RNA". It matches the Rfam family "Bacterial small subunit ribosomal RNA", at positions 28 to 508 of the family's 1533-position model. The record is from RNAcentral.